Peromyscus maniculatus bairdii (prairie deer mouse) is the source of this 4047-nucleotide non-coding RNA. The record is from RefSeq and is a predicted model, not a curated record. Lineage: Eukaryota; Metazoa; Chordata; Mammalia; Rodentia; Cricetidae.
GAUGGACUGACAACUGACCGAGCAACUGGGAGCUGGGAGCAUGCUGUCCCUGAGGAAAUGGCCAUUGAGAUGCCACUUGCAAAGUGGCAUUCUGUUUAUUCAGGGCUAAAAAUGGUGUUGACGGUGAGCACCUCCCCAGGAGGACUCAACCUGAGCAUUUUUCUUUGAGUUCUUGCGUGAACACAAAUGGUCGGUCUAUCAGCCUGAGUUUUCACAUGGCCCAGCACCAAACAGCGUUUCCAUUCCUUUCAAACCGUAUAGCCGCCCAACUGUGGUGGACAGACGGAGGGAAAGACCAACAGCUGCUGUCUUGAGCAUCCCCUCCGGGAGGACCAGGUACGGAAGUGACUCAUGGUCUUAUCCAAGAGCCACCUUUGACAUCCGGUGACAGCAUCACACCAUGUUCUGUGCCUGGAAACCAGGUGCUACCGGAUGAAGCCAGCCUGGAACCUGAGCCACAGCUUGAGAAGUCAUCCUGUCUUCAGUGUGGGUCACACAGUUGAUUGCCACCGGUGACAGAUAAACAUUGCCCCUUGCUUGUCCACAGAAGCCAUCUCUGCUGUUUUACUUGGGGGCUGAAGAUAAAGCAGAGGAAUGCACAUCCCAGCCAGGGCCCCCUGGGCUGUCGAAAACGUGUGAUUGAUCUGGGAGGCCGAACAAUAGCUACACUUACCAACAGGCAUUUCCAUCCCGGAUGUGGGCAGAUGGUAGAGGACAGUGGCUCUGGCCACCUGUCCGGAGGCGUUGGAGCAGCACUCCGUGUCCAGAGCGCACUGGCUUAGCUUCAUUCACACUCUCCAGCAGUUUGGCAUCUAGUACGGAACUUCCCAAGGAAAGAUAAGCUGGAGGAAACGGGAAAUACACAAACAAGACAGAAAACCGGGCUGGCCGUGGGCAGGAAAGAGGCGAGGUGUGCAGACACCCCCACCCCCAAGGACAGCUGCUCCUCACUGUGGUGACACCUGUGCCUCAGCUUCCUCAACUGUGAGUGGAGGUUGUAGUUGGAAUGUGAUCCUGAUCUGCCAGAAUGUGAGCAAGCAGCCUGGUAGUUCUGCUACCACAUGAGCUGGUAGCUCCAUGAACUCUGCCACGCCUUCUCCACCACACUGGGCUGACUGCCGUGAGCCACAGCAAAUCCUUCCUACCUGAAGUUGCUUCUUUUGAGUAUUUUAUCACAGCAGAGAAAAGCAACUGAUAUACCGGAGUAAAUAUGUCAGUCUCCAUAAAGCGUUUACGGCAAGGGCCAGCUUCCCAGACCCUCCGCAAACUGUGCAAGCCUGAAGGCAAGCGCUGGCCCUGAGCCGCCCCAUCUCCCCACCGCAGGAGAAUGUCUAUCCGAAACACUGCAGCUUCUUUUUCCUUUUUAAAUCCAUUUUUACUUUAUUGCAUUUUUGAGAUUAUUCACUCUAGGUAGCCCAGGUUAGCUUCAAAUGCGCUAUCCUCCUGCCUCAGCCUCCCAUGUGUUCGGAUGACGGGUGAGUGCUACCACACCUGGCCUGAAGGUUGCAUCUUCUACAAAAGGACACAAUCACAAUUUGACCAAGCCUGGAGUGGACUGCCAGGCCUGAUUCUGAGGGCCUGGGCUGUGGUGUCCUGGUAGCGGAUUGUGUUAGUCUAAGCAAGCAGGCCACUGUUAGGAGUUUGACUUGAUCUCUUGAUCCCAGAAGUGUCUGAGCUUUUGUUUGCUCUGUUGGCAGGAAAAGUAUUUGACAUUCACAAGCACAGCCAAGAUCAAAAGCAGCUGAAGCGACGUGUGUCUCUUCAGUGGUCAAGAGUUGAGCUAAAAAUGUGAAAAACGACUCUUGUUCUGUAUGAGGGGCUGGAAUCUUCUUCCUCUUUCUCCACCCUAAGGAUAAUCAAAAGCCACGCAUCCAACAUUUAGCCAAAAUGUAUCCUCACUGAUGCUGUAAAACAGAUGAAAUUUAAAUUUCUCUUAAAACUACAUGAUACUGUGCAAGACAGAAGAAAAGCAGUUGUUCAAAUAUGGAAUGGGAUGAACUCAACUAGAAAUCACAGGUUAGCAAGGUAAGAACAUGGGGUCAGAGAUGGCCACAAGCCGAGAAUCAGUUGGCAUUAAAGGAGUUGGGGUAGGGGCCAGCCUGUGAGACGGCUCAGAGUCUGUGGAUAAAGCUCACAUUUCACCCCAGAACCUGCAUGAAGGUCCAAGGCAAGAACACACUCCAUAAAGAUAUUCUCUGACACCCACGUGUAAUUUCAUUUCAUAAAUAAAUAAAAUGAAGACAAACAUAAAACCUGAGCCAGAGGAGAAAAGCAUCACCACUGCCGUUUGGGAGGCUCAGAGGUUCUGUAUCAGAGAACAGCUAAAUGAAGCAGAAUUGUCUCACAAUGACAUGGCUGGCUGUGAGGCUCUUGGUCACCUUUUCAAGACCAUGAAGCAUUUUCAAUAGAUGUAGAGGACUCUGUGGAGGUCUCUUUUCAAUAAAACCAUGCUUCUUAGGGAAGAUUCAGAACCUCCGAACCCUCAUGUGAACAAAUAUAUGUCAUGGGUUCAGAUCAUCUGCAGGGGUCACAUCAGGCACUAAGGACCGUGCACAGGUGGACACUACCUCUGCUGUCCCUCUGGAAGAUACUUCUGACCAAGACACUGACCACCGUGAGAUUUGGGUUUUGGGUUAACAAAAUAUGGAGGACUUGAAAAAUAGCACUGGCUACUAAACAAUACACACACACACACACACACACACACGCACACGCACACGCACACACGCACACGCAUGCACACACGCACACACACAUGCAUGCACACACGCACGCAUGCAGACACACAAACACACACACAUGAGUGCACACAUGUGCACACACAGGGCAGAGACAGGAGUGACCACCAUACUUUUAAAGUUCUAAGACUUGACUAUUUAAGAUAAAUUUUCAGAUGGCUUAUUACAGCCCAGAAGUUUAUUUCAUGAGGCGUAUUUUUCUUACAUCAAAUAUCUGGGUGCAACAGCAAAUGCCUGCUGUCCCAGAUGCUUCAGAGGUUGAGGCAGGAGGAUCACCCCCCCCCAACCUGAGAAACAAAACCAAAAAUACAUAGACGCAUAACAGCCAACACACCAGUCAAACAAACAACUUGACUCUCAGCAAAGUGAUGAGUGGGACGACAAGGUUGGGUGACUCCAGGGCAUCUUCCUCACCAAGACCUCACCAUGUUGGAUCACAUGGUGUUAGCAGCAGACAAGCCAGAACUAGGGUCAGUUGGCCAUGCUCAUGGAAAAUGCCAGCUGUAAAAAUCUGCUCUGGUAUCCACAUCAUCGGGUUAAAAUGGAAAGAAGUGUUAGAAUCGGGCUUGGAGAGGCUGUGACCUGUGACUGGAAUCCUCAUCCAGAGUGUGUGGAUCCUGUGGAUGCAGAAUCCGUGGCAUGUUGUGCAGAUGUUCUGAGACGAAGAUGUGUCACAACGAAGACUCCACUAAACAGUGAGACACUGAUGGGAACCACUCUUCGGGUGACUAACAGGCUGCCAUAGUUCCUCUUUUCCAUCAUUGGGAUGGAGUCCAUGACAGAAGCAUGUUGAGGAGGGGACUCACAGUUUAGAAGGGACAGUGUGGCAUGGUGUGGGGAAGACAUGACCACUGUAGUGUGUCAGUUCCUGGGAGCAGUGGUUUGUGGCAGCUGGUCACAUCAUGGUAGAUCAGCAAGCAUAUACAAAGGACUGAACCAGAAGAAAGAUGACCUUCAAGGCUUGCCCACAGCCAUAGUCCCAAAGGCUCCACAACCUCCCAAAACAGUGCUCCCAGCUGAAGGCCAGACAUUGAAACACAUGAGCAUGGCAAGGACCUUGUACUCCUCAGACUCGGCAGCCCUGGCUGUUGUAGACACUGAAAAGCUGAAACAUCUUUGUUCAUUGUCUCUUGCCCCUCUCUCUUCCCUUCCUUCCUUCCUUCCUUCCUUCCUUCCUUCCUUCCUUCCUUCCUUCCUUCCUUCCUUCCUUCCUUCUUUUCUUCCUUUGUGGUACUGGGAAUUGGUUGAACCUGGGCCUCGACAGUAUUAGGCAAAUAUUCUACUACUGAACUAUAACCUGCUCCCAAAC